RNAcentral lists this ribosomal RNA (1127 nucleotides) under Acinetobacter baumannii. RNAcentral describes it as "bacterial SSU rRNA". It matches the Rfam family "Bacterial small subunit ribosomal RNA", at positions 28 to 1152 of the family's 1533-position model. Lineage: Bacteria; Pseudomonadati; Pseudomonadota; Gammaproteobacteria; Moraxellales; Moraxellaceae. The record is from RNAcentral.
GUCAAUAGGAUGGCGGCAGCUUACACAUGCAGUCGAGCGGGGGAGGUAGCUUGCUACUGGACCUAGCGGCGGACGGGUGAGUAAUGCUUAGGAAUCUGCCUAUUAGUGGGGGACAACAUCUCGAAAGGGAUGCUAAUACCGCAUACGUCCUACGGGAGAAAGCAGGGGAUCUUCGGACCUUGCGCUAAUAGAUGAGCCUAAGUCGGAUUAGCUAGUUGGUGGGGUAAAGGCCUACCAAGGCGACGAUCUGUAGCGGGUCUGAGAGGAUGAUCCGCCACACUGGGACUGAGACACGGCCCAGACUCCUACGGGAGGCAGCAGUGGGGAAUAUUGGACAAUGGGGGGAACCCUGAUCCAGCCAUGCCGCGUGUGUGAAGAAGGCCUUAUGGUUGUAAAGCACUUUAAGCGAGGAGGAGGCUACUUUAGUUAAUACCUAGAGAUAGUGGACGUUACUCGCAGAAUAAGCACCGGCUAACUCUGUGCCAGCAGCCGCGGUAAUACAGAGGGUGCGAGCGUUAAUCGGAUUUACUGGGCGUAAAGCGUGCGUAGGCGGCUUAUUAAGUCGGAUGUGAAAUCCCCGAGCUUAACUUGGGAAUUGCAUUCGAUACUGGUGAGCUAGAGUAUGGGAGAGGAUGGUAGAAUUCCAGGUGUAGCGGUGAAAUGCGUAGAGAUCUGGAGGAAUACCGAUGGCGAAGGCAGCCAUCUGGCCUAAUACUGACGCUGAGGUACGAAAGCAUGGGGAGCAAACAGGAUUAGAUACCCUGGUAGUCCAUGCCGUAAACGAUGUCUACUAGCCGUUGGGGCCUUUGAGGCUUUAGUGGCGCAGCUAACGCGAUAAGUAGACCGCCUGGGGAGUACGGUCGCAAGACUAAAACUCAAAUGAAUUGACGGGGGCCCGCACAAGCGGUGGAGCAUGUGGUUUAAUUCGAUGCAACGCGAAGAACCUUACCUGGGCUUGACAUACUAGAAACUUUCCAGAAAAGGAUUGGUGCCUUCGGGAAUCUAGAUACAGGGGCUGCAUGGCUGUCGUCAGCUCCGGGCCGGGGAAGUUGGGGUUAAUUCCCCCCACCUACCCCACCCCUUUUCCUUUCUUUGCCAGAUUUUGGUGGGAAAUUUAAGGGUACCGG